GACGAACGCUGGCGGCGUGCUUAACACAUGCAAGUCGAACGGUGAAGGGACUGGCUUUUGUUGGUCCUGGAUGAGUGGCGAACGGGUGAGUAACACGUGAGUAACCUGCCCCCUUCUUCUGGAUAACCGCAUGAAAGUGUGGCUAAUACGGGAUAUUCUGGGCCUGUCGCAUGACGGGCCCGGGAAAGAUAUUGUUUCGGUGGGGGAUGGGCUCGCGGCCUAUCAGCUUGUUGGUGGGGUGAUGGCCUACCAAGGCGGUGACGGGUAGCCGGCCUGAGAGGGUGGACGGUCACACUGGGACUGAGACACGGCCCAGACUCCUACGGGAGGCAGCAGUGGGGAAUAUUGCACAAUGGGCGCAAGCCUGAUGCAGCGACGCCGCGUGAGGGAUGGAGGCCUUCGGGUUGUAAACCUCUUUCGCCAAUGAAGCAGGCCUGCUUCCUUGUGGGUG
This 451-nucleotide ribosomal RNA is filed under the name Actinomyces sp. oral taxon 169. RNAcentral describes it as "bacterial SSU rRNA". It matches the Rfam family "Bacterial small subunit ribosomal RNA", at positions 28 to 471 of the family's 1533-position model. The record is from RNAcentral. Lineage: Bacteria; Bacillati; Actinomycetota; Actinomycetes; Actinomycetales; Actinomycetaceae.